Molecule: long non-coding RNA, 1343 nt
Filed under: Heterocephalus glaber (naked mole-rat)
Lineage: Eukaryota; Metazoa; Chordata; Mammalia; Rodentia; Bathyergidae
Description: lncRNA (ENSHGLG00100050147.1)
Source: RNAcentral
AGAGAGAUGAGUUCAGUGGCUGCAAAGGAGCAAAGAGCCAUGUUGUCCCUUGUGCUCCAUGUGCCAGGACAAGGAAGCUGCAGCUGUCCACGCCCAGCGCUCUUCCAGGCUGAGACACAAGGACAGAAAAUCAAGGUCAGCUUGCAACAUGCCAAGACCUAUCUCAAAAAACAAAACAAAACAACAACAAAAAUCAACCUACAGAAAAAUAUAGCAUAAACCACCUUCCACGAUGCAGAUUUAACAAGCACUAGUAUUUUGCUCUAUUAGCUUUGAAUCUGUAUUCUAAAUGUUCCACACACACUUGAACCUUAUGUGGAAAGGUUCUAAUCCCUGAUCCUGUUUUCCUGAAAAGUAACUACAAUCAUGAAAUAUGUGUUUAUUCUUUAAUUUUUUUUCUUUUUUUGCAGUACUUGGGAUUGAACCUAGGGCCAUCAUACUAAGCUACAUCCCCAGCCUUCUCUUUUUUUUUUUUUUCAAUUUUGAAACAGUCUCAUUAAGUCACUAAGUUGCCCAGGCUGGGCUUGAACUUGCAAUCCUCUUGCCUCAGACUCCCAGAGUGCUGGGAUCACAAACAUGAGGCCCCAUGCCUGGCUAUAAGAGUUUCUCUAGAGUGGUGGUGAGGAACUUAUGGCACAUGUGCCACAAGUGGGCACACAGAGUCCUCUCUGUUGGCUCAUGAGCCAAGUCCCCACAGAAGAUAAGGAUCGGUUAACAGCAUACACAGGGGCCAUGCACAUGCUCUGGAAGGAGUAGCGGCACCAGGUGAUGACAUCACCAGCAGCCUGGGCACUUGGUCUUUAAAAGGUUCGCCAUCACUGCUCUAGAACAUAUGCUUCUUGAUAAGGUUCCCUGUAGACCUUAGGACUCACAGGAUUGUGAGAGGUAGUGAAUGAAAUAUUUCCGGUGAGGGUGUUGGUUCCAUGUCUGCUGUCAGAUCUGAAGUCAGCAGGACCAACAGAGAAAGAGGAUGAGUAGUGGAAAGCAGAAACCCUUAGGAACUGACAGAGCCAGCUGUCACUUGUUGAACAGCACCUGAAUGGGGGAGUGAGGAUGAAGAAAAAGAAAGACGCAGAGAUAGAGUCGGGAGCCUCCCAGAGAGACUGCCGCCGCGCUUUAUUUUUAUUCUCCUCCCCUUUUUAUCACAGUCCUGGUCUAGCAGCCUCGGAACCACUAGAUCUGAACCCCAACCUACAGGAUUCUCAGACUUGAGCAUUCUGUAAUUUACAGCUCAAGACAGACAUCCUGGGACAAUAUCUGUGAUGCUGCCAGCUUGAUUUAGGUCCUGGCCAGGAGAGUCUGUCCGCUUGUCCCCUGUCCUGAGUGACUCUGCCCUGCCUGAG